UAUAAAAAUUAAGUAUACAAUUGAAUCAUUCUCAGUAACUUUGCCAAGUGAUGCAGCAAUCUCACGAAGACAUUCUUAGAACAUUUUCAUCACUCCAAUAAGAUUCUACAAGCCCUUUACAGAAUGCAGGAUCUUAGUUCCCUGACCAGGGAUCAAACCCGUGUCCCUCUGCGGUGGAAGUGCGGAGCCCUAACCCCUGGACCGCCAGGGAAUUCACCACAUAUGCUGUUGAGAGGAAGAUGAUUUGCAUCCUUGGCACCUUGACAGGUGUCCUGGAAAUCUUUUUGCAUCAGCAUUUAGUAUAUUUACCUCAUUUAAGAGCAAUUCUGCCCUUUUUGGCUGAAGGAGCUCGUGAGAAUAUACAGAGACUAGCAGCCAUGUUUCAAUCCUGCAGUAAACCUGAUGUCCAAGUCUCAAAUGGAGCACAGCCCCAUCGAACAUCCAACUGCAACUGGGUCCAAGGAUGCCUCUUUGCAGGAUGCCAAGAGAAUUUGAGACUCUUCUCAAAAUCUUCUGACUCAUCUGCCUGUGAUUUCCAGCUUGAAAUAAGUGAUGCUUGUUGGUGAUGCUUGAGUGCUUUUCAGAAUGCUUGAAGAUUUAGGUAGCUUCAAGAACAGUUUUAUCCUACAAAUAAAGUGUGAACUAGGAGUUCAGAAAAAAAUGU
Physeter macrocephalus (sperm whale) is the source of this 664-nucleotide long non-coding RNA. RefSeq lists it as uncharacterized. The record is from RefSeq and is a predicted model, not a curated record. The transcript is spliced from 4 exons. Lineage: Eukaryota; Metazoa; Chordata; Mammalia; Artiodactyla; Physeteridae.